Molecule: ribosomal RNA, 467 nt
Filed under: uncultured bacterium
Lineage: Bacteria
Description: partial 16S ribosomal RNA
Rfam family: Bacterial small subunit ribosomal RNA
Source: RNAcentral
ACGCACGCUGGCGGCGUGCUUAACCCCUGCAAGUCGAACGGAAAGGCCCUGCUUUUGUGGGGUGCUCGAGUGGCGAACGGGUGAGUAACACGUGAGUAACCUGCCCUUGACUUUUGGGUAACUUCAGGAAACUGGGGCUAAUACCGGAUAGGAGCUCCUGCUGCAUGGUGGGGGUUGGAAAGUUUCGGCGGUUGGGGAUGGACUCGCGGCUUAUCAGCUUGUUGGUGGGGUAGUGGCUUACCAAGGCUUUGACGGGUAGCCGGCCUGAGAGGGUGACCGGCCACAUUGGGACUGAGAUACGGCCCAGACUCCUACGGGAGGCAGCAGUGGGGAAUAUUGCACAAUGGGCGGAAGCCUGAUGCAGCAACGCCGCGUGCGGGAUGACGGCCUUCGGGUUGUAAACCGCUUUCGCCUGUGACGAAGCGUGAGUGACGGUAAUGGGUAAAGAAGCACCGGCUAACUACGUG